UUGCAGCAGCCUCGCCACCCCCACGGCCA
Molecule: small RNA, 29 nt
Filed under: Bombyx mori (domestic silkworm)
Lineage: Eukaryota; Metazoa; Arthropoda; Insecta; Lepidoptera; Bombycidae
Description: ovarian small RNA-9709
Source: RNAcentral